AAGUCGUAACAAGGUUACCGUUGGUGAACCAGCGGUAGGAUCAUUACCACAAAAAAUACCUUAUACAAAAAACAACCCCGCAAAGCGGUCUGUUUUUGUUGCCUGCCCUUCACGGGGUUAGCAAGAAAAUUCUGACAUUGCUUUUUGUGAACAUAUAGACCCCGUUCUGUAUCUUUCUCUUUCUUUUCGGGGAGAGAGAAAGGUGCGAAUGGACAACCCACCUCGAGUUUUGCCUUGGGUUUUUCAUUAAACCCGAGGCAACGUGGGUAAUUUAACAUUUUAAACUACAUUAAAAAACUUUUUUUUCUGAAAAACAACCAAUCGAAUUAAAAAAAACUUUAAAAACUUUUUUUUGCUCUAUUGGCACACAAAACAAAAACAAAAAACAACUUUUAACGGUGGAUCUCUAGGCUCGU
This 416-nucleotide unclassified non-coding RNA is filed under the name fungal sp. RNAcentral describes it as "partial internal transcribed spacer region". The stretch from base 1 to 46 matches the Rfam family "Eukaryotic small subunit ribosomal RNA", at positions 1786 to 1831 of the family's 1831-position model. Lineage: Eukaryota; Fungi. The record is from RNAcentral.